Molecule: ribosomal RNA, 262 nt
Filed under: uncultured bacterium
Lineage: Bacteria
Description: partial 16S ribosomal RNA
Rfam family: Bacterial small subunit ribosomal RNA
Source: RNAcentral
UACGUAGGGUGCAAGCGUUGUCCGGAAUUAUUGGGCGUAAAGAGCUCGUAGGCGGUUUUGUUGCGUCGGCUGUGAAAUCCCGAGGCUCAACCUCGGGUCUGCAGUCGAUACGAGCAAAACUAGAGUGUUGCAGGGGGAGACUGGAAUUCCUGGUGUAGCGGUGAAAAUGCGCAGAUAUCAGGAGGAACACCGGUGGCGAAGGGCGGCGAUCUGGGGUCGAUACUGACGCUGAGGUGCGAAAAGCGUGGGGGGAGCAAACAGG